UACGAACGCUGGCGGCGUGCUUAACACAUGCAAGUCGAACGGAAAGGCCCUGCUUGCAGGGUACUCGAGUGGCGAACGGGUGAGUAACACGUGGGUGAUCUGCCCUGCACUUCGGGAUAAGCCUGGGAAACUGGGUCUAAUACCGGAUAGGAGCCAUUUUUAGUGUGAUGGUUGGAAAGUUUUUUCGGUGUAGGAUGAGCUCGCGGCCUAUCAGCUUGUUGGUGGGGUAAUGGCCUACCAAGGCGGCGACGGGUAGCCGGCCUGAGAGGGUGGACGGCCACAUUGGGACUGAGAUAAGGCACAGACGCCGACGGGAGGCAGCAGUGGGGAAUAUUGCACAAUGGGCGCAAGCCUGAUGCAGCGACGCCGCAUGGGGGAUGACGGCCUUCGGGUUGUAAACUCCUUUCGCUAGGGACGAAGCUUUUUGUGACGGUACCUAGAUAAGAAGCACCGGCUAACUACGUG
This 465-nucleotide ribosomal RNA is filed under the name uncultured bacterium. Its description in RNAcentral is "partial 16S ribosomal RNA". It matches the Rfam family "Bacterial small subunit ribosomal RNA", at positions 29 to 507 of the family's 1533-position model. The record is from RNAcentral.